GGACCCGUAGCUCAAAGGAAGAGCGCUCGGCCCAUAACCGAUCGGUUGCUGUGUCAGGAUCAGCCGGGUCCACCA
This 75-nucleotide transfer RNA is filed under the name Bacilli bacterium. Its description in RNAcentral is "tRNA-Ile". It matches the Rfam family "tRNA". Rfam says of the family: Transfer RNA (tRNA) molecules are approximately 80 nucleotides in length. Their secondary structure includes four short double-helical elements and three loops (D, anti-codon, and T loops). RNAcentral also lists the same sequence under 1 other name. Lineage: Bacteria; Bacillati; Bacillota; Bacilli. The record is from RNAcentral.